Molecule: ribosomal RNA, 1372 nt
Filed under: uncultured bacterium
Lineage: Bacteria
Description: bacterial SSU rRNA
Rfam family: Bacterial small subunit ribosomal RNA
Source: RNAcentral
GAUGAACGCUGGCGGCGUGCCUAAUACAUGCAAGUCGAGCGAACGGACGAGAAGCUUGCUUCUCUGAUGUUAGCGGCGGACGGGUGAGUAACACGUGGAUAACCUACCUAUAAGACUGGGAUAACUUCGGGAAACCGGAGCUAAUACCGGAUAAUAUUUUGAACCGCAUGGUUCAAAAGUGAAAGACGGUCUUGCUGUCACUUAUAGAUGGAUCCGCGCUGCAUUAGCUAGUUGGUAAGGUAACGGCUUACCAAGGCAACGAUGCAUAGCCGACCUGAGAGGGUGAUCGGCCACACUGGAACUGAGACACGGUCCAGACUCCUACGGGAGGCAGCAGUAGGGAAUCUUCCGCAAUGGGCGAAAGCCUGACGGAGCAACGCCGCGUGAGUAAUGAAGGUCUUCGGAUCGUAAAACUCUGUUAUUAGGGAAGAACAUAUGUGUAAGUAACUGUGCACAUCUUGACGGUACCUAAUCAGAAAGCCACGGCUAACUACGUGCCAGCAGCCGCGGUAAUACGUAGGUGGCAAGCGUUAUCCGGAAUUAUUGGGCGUAAAGCGCGCGUAGGCGGUUUUUUAAGUCUGAUGUGAAAGCCCACGGCUCAACCGUGAAGGGUCAUUGGAAACUGGAAAACUUGAGUGCAGAAGAGGAAAGUGGAAUUCCAUGUGUAGCGGUGAAAUGCGCAGAGAUAUGGAGGAACACCAGUGGCGAAGGCGACUUUCUGGUCUGUAACUGACGCUGAUGUGCGAAAGCGUGGGGAUCAAACAGGAUUAGAUACCCUGGUAGUCCACGCCGUAAACGAUGAGUGCUAAGUGUUAGGGGGUUUCCGCCCCUUAGUGCUGCAGCUAACGCAUUAAGCACUCCGCCUGGGGAGUACGACCGCAAGGUUGAAACUCAAAGGAAUUGACGGGGACCCGCACAAGCGGUGGAGCAUGUGGUUUAAUUCGAAGCAACGCGAAGAACCUUACCAAAUCUUGACAUCCUUUGACAACUCUAGAGAUAGAGCUUUCCCCUUCGGGGGACAAAGUGACAGGUGGUGCAUGGUUGUCGUCAGCUCGUGUCGUGAGAUGUUGGGUUAAGUCCCGCAACGAGCGCAACCCUUAAGCUUAGUUGCCAUCAUUAAGUUGGGCACUCUAAGUUGACUGCCGGUGACAAACCGGAGGAAGGUGGGGAUGACGUCAAAUCAUCAUGCCCCUUAUGAUUUGGGCUACACACGUGCUACAAUGGACAAUACAAAGGGCAGCGAAACCGCGAGGUCAAGCAAAUCCCAUAAAGUUGUUCUCAGUUCGGAUUGUAGUCUGCAACUCGACUACAUGAAGCUGGAAUCGCUAGUAAUCGUAGAUCAGCAUGCUACGGUGAAUACGUUCCCGGGUCU